This 401-nucleotide long non-coding RNA is filed under the name Elaeis guineensis (African oil palm). RNAcentral describes it as "long non-coding RNA (EGUI_LNC009239)". The record is from RNAcentral. Lineage: Eukaryota; Viridiplantae; Streptophyta; Magnoliopsida; Arecales; Arecaceae.
CAACCAGCAACCUAUCAUCUGGACCCUGAAUGACAUACCCCGCACUACCUCUACCAUCCCUGAUACUGCCAUCAAAUUGAUCUUAACAAAUCUCGAGGGAGGCUCUUAGGAGAUCAAAAGAAUCCUACAAAUCACUGCAUGUGCAGCAAGAGAGUUUCAAAAACUCGGGAUGCCAAAAGACUAUUCAGUAGUGUCGAACUGACAGUACUCCUCUGUAAGACAACAAGCUCUCUCUAGCACUUGAAACACCGGCACAACCUUAGUAUUGAAAAUCAAGCUAUUCCUGGAUAGUUAAAUUUGAUGGGCAAUAUAUGCCAUCCUACCAUCCAAGGGCUAGCCCUCUAUUAUGCUCCAAUAGAUCGCAUUUAGGAAGGAGGAAAGCCAGGAGCCACUAGUUGCCC